Molecule: ribosomal RNA, 292 nt
Filed under: uncultured bacterium
Lineage: Bacteria
Description: partial 16S ribosomal RNA
Rfam family: Bacterial small subunit ribosomal RNA
Source: RNAcentral
GUGUCAGCAGCCGCGGUAAUACGGAGGGUGCAAGCGUUAUCCGGAUUCACUGGGUUUAAAGGGUGCGUAGGUGGGCAAGUAAGUCAGUGGUGAAAUCUCCGGGCUUAACCCGGAAACUGCCAUUGAUACUAUUUGUCUUGAAUACUGUGGAGGUCAGCGGAAUAUGUCAUGUAGCGGUGAAAUGCUUAGAUAUGACAUAGAACACCAAUUGCGAAGGCAGCUGGCUACACAAAUAUUGACACUGAGGCACGAAAGCGUGGGGAUCAAACAGGAUUAGAAACCCCCGUAGUCC